CCUACGGGUGGCUGCAGUGGGGAAUAUUGCACAAUGGGCGCAAGCCUGAUGCAGCCAUGCCGCGUGUGUGAAGAAGGCCUUCGGGUUGUAAAGCACUUUCAGCGGGGAGGAAGGCGGUGAGGUUAAUAACCUCAUCGAUUGACGUUACCCGCAGAAGAAGCACCGGCUAACUCCGUGCCAGCAGCCGCGGUAAUACGGAGGGUGCAAGCGUUAAUCGGAAUUACUGGGCGUAAAGCGCACGCAGGCGGUCUGUCAAGUCGGAUGUGAAAUCCCCGGGCUCAACCUGGGAACUGCAUUCGAAACUGGCAGGCUAGAGUCUUGUAGAGGGGGGUAGAAUUCCAGGUGUAGCGGUGAAAUGCGUAGAGAUCUGGAGGAAUACCGGUGGCGAAGGCGGCCCCCUGGACAAAGACUGGCGCUCAGGUGCGAAAGCGUGGGGAGCAAACAGGAUUAGAUACCCUAGUAGUC
This 465-nucleotide ribosomal RNA is filed under the name uncultured Klebsiella sp. RNAcentral describes it as "bacterial SSU rRNA". It matches the Rfam family "Bacterial small subunit ribosomal RNA", at positions 338 to 795 of the family's 1533-position model. Lineage: Bacteria; Pseudomonadati; Pseudomonadota; Gammaproteobacteria; Enterobacterales; Enterobacteriaceae. The record is from RNAcentral.